CAAGAGAUCGACUAGGCUCUUCACGGUCAUCUGAUGGUUGUCGUACCGCCUUUUCCUCAUCUCUUUAGUUUUUGCUACCAAUGAUUAUGUGAUAGAGGUUUUAUGUUAUUUGAAAACUGCUCUGUUCCUGGAUGAGAGUUUUGGAACAUAGUGUGAACCUGUGUGUCUGUGAUCUGAGCUUUGAAGAUCUGAUUAUGUGGUUAAUGUCUCCUUGUAGUAUCUUCUAAAUGGUUGCUGUGAUUUGUCUUCACUCUAUUGCCUGUCUGAUGCGUGUAGUGUUUUUUGCUAAUUUUAUAUUACAGUCUAUUAAAUUAGCUUGAAUUAUUGUUUGUAGGAUGUAUUUCGAAUUAUCUACCUGUCGGGAAACAAUUUAUAUUAAUGUGAACCUGUGUGUCUGUGAUCUGAGCUUUGAAGCAUGAUGUGACUAUAUUACUGUUUUAGGUGUUGACUUCAUGUCAGAAAAUGUUCGGGCAGUACUUGAUCAAGCAGGAUUUAAUAAGGUAUUUUUAAUUAGUGUUUCCAGAAGUCUAAUUGUCAUGCCAUUUUCACUAAGAGCAUACUGUGAGAAUAAAGCUAAGAGUAGGUUUGUAUAUGCACUUAUACCAUGUUAUUACAUUAGUGAAAUAGUGAAGUAACAUCAUUUGGGAACCUUGUUAUGAGCUUAUUCUCUUGCUAGUUCAGGCUCCACUUUUAUACACUAUCCUGGAGUGGCAGUUGGGAUGAAUACUGGAACGAUCCUAGUCUGAUCCAAUUUAUCUGUUGUGCUACCAUGUAUGUAUUUUGCGAAUUAGCUCUUUCUGAACUUUGAGUUUACUGUGGAUGUGAUUAUGCAAAAUACAGAGAAAGUUGUAGUAAAAGAAGAUUAUUACCAUAACCAGACUAUCCGAGCAGAACAAAUGACCGACUGUUCCCAAACUUGCAUUAGUUAAUGUAAUAAGUGAUAUCUUGGUAUGAUGUUUAAAUAAGUCUGAUCAAAAUAGUAGUUAACUUCAGCAUAUCGUGCUUGUCAUUUUUUGUUGUCUUCACUCUAUGCAUGUAGUGUUUUUUUUGCUAAUUUUAUAUUACAGUCUAUUAAAUUAGCUUGAAUUAUUGUUUGUAGGAUGUAUUUCGAAUUAUCUACCUGUGGGGAAACAAUUUAUAUUAAUUGCCGAUCUAGUUAUUCUGAA
This 1166-nucleotide long non-coding RNA is filed under the name Zea mays. Its description in RNAcentral is "long non-coding RNA (ZMAY_LNC001009)". Lineage: Eukaryota; Viridiplantae; Streptophyta; Magnoliopsida; Poales; Poaceae. The record is from RNAcentral.